RNAcentral lists this transfer RNA (82 nucleotides) under Candidatus Aminicenantota bacterium. RNAcentral describes it as "Candidatus Aminicenantes bacterium (hot springs metagenome) tRNA-Leu". It matches the Rfam family "tRNA". From Rfam's summary of the family: Transfer RNA (tRNA) molecules are approximately 80 nucleotides in length. Their secondary structure includes four short double-helical elements and three loops (D, anti-codon, and T loops). The record is from RNAcentral. Lineage: Bacteria; Candidatus Aminicenantota.
GCGAAAGUGGCGGAAUUGGAAGACGCGCUGGACUUAGGAUCCAGUGGCUAAAGCCGUGGGGGUUCGAGUCCCCCCUUUCGCA